CAGCAGCCGCGGUAAUACGUAGGUGGCAAGCGUUGUCCGGAAUUAUUGGGCGUAAAGGGUUCGCAGGCGGUUUCUUAAGUCUGAUGUGAAAGCCCCCGGCUCAACCGGGGAGGGUCAUUGGAAACUGGGAAACUUGAGUGCAGAAGAGGAGAGUGGAAUUCCACGUGUAGCGGUGAAAUGCGUAGAGAUGUGGAGGAACACCAGUGGCGAAGGCGACUCUCUGGUCUGUAACUGACGCUGAGGAGCGAAAGCGUGGGGAGCGAACAGGAUUAGAUACCCCGGUAGUCCCUGUCUCUUAUAC
RNAcentral lists this ribosomal RNA (301 nucleotides) under uncultured bacterium. RNAcentral's name for it is "partial 16S ribosomal RNA". It matches the Rfam family "Bacterial small subunit ribosomal RNA", at positions 509 to 807 of the family's 1533-position model. The record is from RNAcentral.